This 488-nucleotide ribosomal RNA is filed under the name uncultured bacterium. RNAcentral describes it as "bacterial SSU rRNA". It matches the Rfam family "Bacterial small subunit ribosomal RNA", at positions 28 to 507 of the family's 1533-position model. The record is from RNAcentral.
GAUGAACGCUAGCGGCAGGCUUAACACAUGCAAGUCGAGGGGCAGCAUAAUGAAGUAGCAAUACGGAAUUGAUGGCGACCGGCGCACGGGUGCGUAACGCGUAUGUAACCUACCUCUAACAGGGGGAUAACACUGAGAAAUUGGUACUAAUACCCCAUAACACUUCGGAGGGCAUCCUCUGGGGUUGAAAGUUCCGGCGGUUAGAGAUGGACAUGCGUUGUAUUAGCUAGAUGGUGAGGUAAUGGCUCACCAUGGCGACGAUACAUAGGGGGACUGAGAGGUUAACCCCCCANACUGGUACUGAGACACGGACCAGACUCCUACGGGAGGCAGCAGUGAGGAAUAUUGGUCAAUGGACGCAAGUCUGAACCAGCCAUGCCGCGUGCAGGAUGACGGCUCUAUGAGUUGUAAACUGCUUUUGACAAGGGUAACCCUGGGACUGUCCCAGGCUGAAAGUACUGUACGAAUAAGGAUCGGCUAACUCCGUG